UGGGGAAUUUUGGACAAUGGGCGAAAGCCUGAUCCAGCCAUGCCGCGUGCAGGAUGAAGGCCUUCGGGUUGUAAACUGCUUUUGUACGGAACGAAAAGACUCUGGUUAAUACCUGGGGUCCAUGACGGUACCGUAAGAAUAAGCACCGGCUAACUACGUGCCAGCAGCCGCGGUAAUACGUAGGGUGCAAGCGUUAAUCGGAAUUACUGGGCGUAAAGCGUGCGCAGGCGGUUAUAUAAGACAGAUGUGAAAUCCCCGGGCUCAACCUGGGAACUGCAUUUUGUGACUGUAUAGCUAGAGUACGGCAGAGGGGGAUGGAAUUCCGCGUGUAGCAGUGAAAUGCGUAGAUAUGCGGAGGAACACCGAUGGCNAAGGCAAUCCCUGGGCCUNUACUGACGCUCAUGCACGAAAAGCGUGGGGAGCAAACAGGACUAGAUACCCUGGUAGUCCACGCCCUAAACGAUGUCAACUGGGUUGUUGGGUCUUCACUGACUCAGU
This 498-nucleotide ribosomal RNA is filed under the name uncultured bacterium. RNAcentral's name for it is "partial 16S ribosomal RNA". It matches the Rfam family "Bacterial small subunit ribosomal RNA", at positions 355 to 843 of the family's 1533-position model. The record is from RNAcentral.